RNAcentral lists this ribosomal RNA (657 nucleotides) under Triticum aestivum (bread wheat). Its description in RNAcentral is "partial small subunit ribosomal RNA". The record is from RNAcentral. Lineage: Eukaryota; Viridiplantae; Streptophyta; Magnoliopsida; Poales; Poaceae.
AUGGUGCUGUGGGUCUUCGGGUAUGGGUCCCUGAUCUGGAACCCCGGAUUCGACUUCGACGAGAAGAUCCUGGGAUUCAUCAAGGGAUACAAGCGAACGUUUAAUCUUGCUUGCAUUGACCAUAGAGGCACACCACAGCAUCCGGCCAGGACCUGCACCCUUGAAUCCGAAGAUGAAGCCAUAUGCUGGGGAAUUGCUUAUUGUGUCAAAGGUGGUCUAGAAAAAGAGCGAGAAGCAAUGCAGUACUUGGAGAGAAGAGAAUGCGAGUAUGACCAGAAGAUCUCUGUGGAUUUCUACAAGGAUGGAAAUUCUCUGGAACCAGCUGUGACGGAUGUAUUAGUUUUCGUAUCCACUCCUGAUCCAGUUGGCAACAAAUACUAUCUUGGCCCUGCUGCUUUGGAGGAUAUGGCAAGGCAAAUUGCUACAGCCAGUGGCCCUAAUGGAUAUAAUAGGGACUACCUGUUCUCAAUGGAGAAGGCACUGUCCAAUAUAAGCCAUGAAGACGACUCGAUCAUUGUGCUUGCGGAUGAGGUGAGGAAGGUGCUGAGCAGGUCGACGGAGAAGAAGGUUACCGGCUCCGACAUACCAUUAAAAUCGCAUACACCUGUUGUGCACAUCUCUGCUCUUCCUGAGGGCACCGUUGCGGUUUCAACAUAG